UCCCACGUAGUAUCGCACUCUCACAGAAAGUGCUUAGCACGGAAAAAGUCACCGAGAGCCGCUUAAUCCCGUUAGGGAAAAGCCGAUCCUCGACCCGAGCACGGCUGCUCGCGCGCCCCAGGUGCGCGGUGGCGGCGGCGGCGGCAGCGGGGCCGGGCCGGGGACCGCGGCGGGAGCGCAGCCCCUGCCUCGGCUCCCCCGGACAAAGAAGGGAAAGUGCGCCCGAGGAGUGAAGGGGGGCGGGUAUGUGAAAGCCAAAGCACACAAAGGAGGGAGAGGGACAAGUCGCGCAGCUCUUCCUCGCAGCACGACGCCUGGAGCGGGAAGCGGAGGCAGCGGCGGCGCCGGACGGGAGGCGACGAGGGGCGGCGGAGCGCCGCACCUGCCCGAGGAGAGGGGAGCGGCGGGGAGGCGCGAAGCCGGGGGCAGCCCAGCCCAGCCCGCCCCCCGCGGGGAUACUCGCCUGCUCGCGGAGGUAGCCCCGGUGCGGCGGAGUCGUCCGACAGAGGGACCAGAGGUCCCAGGAGAAGAGCCAAGGCCAAGUUCCCUCCUCUUCUGGUGUGCUCUGGCAGCUCUGAGGAGCUGGGUGUUCACAUCAUCACUCAUGGCUGAAACACCCAAGAUUAGCAGAAGGCAGAGCAGCUCCAUUUCCAGGCCAGAACGCGCAGUGCUACUCUGCAAGUCGUACCAAUACUGUUCCCGAAACCUCAAUUUACCAGAAGGGAACUGCACUUCAGGCUGGCAUUCCACGGGUAUCAGCUUUCCAGCAUCACUGAUGUCCCGCAGCUGAAAUGAGAAAGGCAAGGCCAAACAGCUCUGACAGGAUUCUUUGGAGUCGUAUUUCUUCUGCAUUGUAAAGCACUAAAUGUCACCAAGGAUUCCUUAUCUGUUCUCUUCCCAUGCAAGCUCCUCCGAAACAGUAUACUCACCCUGUAUCAGGCCUGUGAAACAAAAUCUACUUACAAGUUUUCUGGUUUGCUGUUAGUUGCUGGUGCGGAUGAUGUUUGUGCAGUAUGCCUCAUACAGAAAUGAAGAUAAAGAAGGCAAACAGUGUUCUUCAUGAAGCUGCUGGACUUUGGAAGGAGGCACUGGAAGAGCCUGUUUUAUUGACAGCAAAUACGAAACUGC
Grus americana (Whooping crane) is the source of this 1128-nucleotide long non-coding RNA. RefSeq lists it as uncharacterized. The record is from RefSeq and is a predicted model, not a curated record. NCBI's taxonomy places the organism in Eukaryota, Metazoa, Chordata, Aves, Gruiformes, Gruidae. The transcript has 3 exons.